This 253-nucleotide ribosomal RNA is filed under the name uncultured bacterium. RNAcentral's name for it is "partial 16S ribosomal RNA". It matches the Rfam family "Bacterial small subunit ribosomal RNA", at positions 524 to 776 of the family's 1533-position model. The record is from RNAcentral.
UACGUAGGGGGCGAGCGUUGUCCGGAUUUAUUGGGCGUAAAGAGCGUGUAGGCGGCCAGGUAGGUCUGCUGUGAAAACUCGAGGCUUAACCUCGAGAUGUCAUCGGAAACCAUCUGGCUAGAGUCCGGAAGAGGAAAGUGGAAUUCCUGGUGUAGCGGUGAAAUGCGCAGAUAUCAGGAGGAACACCAAUGGCGAAAGCAGCUUUCUGGGACGGUACUGACGCUGAGACGCGAAAGCGUGGGGAGCGAACAGG